This 250-nucleotide ribosomal RNA is filed under the name Aureobasidium sp. RNAcentral describes it as "partial large subunit ribosomal RNA". It matches the Rfam family "Eukaryotic large subunit ribosomal RNA", at positions 82 to 332 of the family's 3401-position model. The record is from RNAcentral. Lineage: Eukaryota; Fungi; Ascomycota; Dothideomycetes; Dothideales; Saccotheciaceae.
AGUACGGCGAGUGAAGCGGCAACAGCUCAAAUUUGAAAGCUAGCCUUCGGGUUCGCAUUGUAAUUUGUAGAGGAUGAUUUGGGGAAGCCGCCUGUCUAAGUUCCUUGGAACAGGACGUCAUAGAGGGUGAGAAUCCCGUAUGUGACAGGAAAUGGCACCCUAUGUAAAUCUCCUUCGACGAGUCGAGUUGUUUGGGAAUGCAGCUCUAAAUGGGAGGUAAAUUUCUUCUAAAGCUAAAUAUUGGCGAGAG